CAGCAGCCACGGUAAUACGAAGGGUGCAAGCGUUACUCGGAGUUACUGGGCGUAAAGCGUGCGUAGGUGGUGGUUUAAGUCCGUUGUGAAAGCCCUGGGCUCAACCUGGGAAUUGCAGUGGAUACUGGGUCACUAGAGUGUGGUAGAGGAUAGUGGAAUUUCCGGUGUAGCAGUGAAAUGCGUAGAGAUCGGAAGGAACAUCUGUGGCGAAGGCGACUAUCUGGGCCAACACUGACACUGAGGCACGAAAGCGUGGGGAGCAAACAGGAUUAGAUACCCCCGUAGUCCCUGUCUCUUAUAC
Molecule: ribosomal RNA, 301 nt
Filed under: uncultured bacterium
Lineage: Bacteria
Description: partial 16S ribosomal RNA
Rfam family: Bacterial small subunit ribosomal RNA
Source: RNAcentral